RNA transcript from Glossina fuscipes, 706 nucleotides. It is a transcript of the gene named loricrin-like, with no coding region annotated. The transcript has 3 exons. Lineage: Eukaryota; Metazoa; Arthropoda; Insecta; Diptera; Glossinidae. The record is from RefSeq and is a predicted model, not a curated record.
UGCAACUCUAAGGAUCCCAAAGAGGAGGCAAAAAAAUCAUGGAGCCCGAAAAAAUUAAACAAGAUUUUUUAUAGAUAGAUUAAUUCUAAUACUUUGAACAGUUCAACCGAAAAGCAAUGUCAUUUUUCCUUAUAGUGAAUUAUAGUGACGCGGUCAGGUCGUCACGUCGUGUUUGUUUGCUUCUAAUGAGUUUAGCGAUUUCUUUUUCAUUCAAUUUGUCGUGAACGCCUCUACAAUGUUUACAAAUUAUUAAACGUUUGUUUAUUAACGUUCAUCUUGAUGUUAAAAAAUUUCAAUGACCAUUCGAAAUACAAAUGCAUGGAAUAAUGAGCGAUGCGGUACGGUAAUGCUGGUAAUCAAUUACCUAAAAUUUAUCAACUAUUUACUAUUCUUUGAAUCUUGCCACAGAAUCAGCGAAAGAAUUAGAAGAUUACUGAAAGGUUAAGGGAAUGAUUAACGAAUUACAAUUACAUCCAUUUUUGAUUAAGGCAGAUAUCAGAAUUAUUUUUUAAAAGCGACAAUUUGUUGGCAUAUUACAAACAACUAUAUAAGAUACGAAGUGCUACAGACAGUCUUGGGAGACAACGGGUUCGAACUUUGCCUGCUUUUCCAGAUAAUUUUUAUUCGAGCUUCGUCCACAUCUAAUAGGGGAUACGAUACUGGCACUUUUUUAGAAUAUAACUACCCGCCCAAUUUUGGUCAUGAU